UUGAAGAAGGUUGCAGGAUGCCUGGUUGCCCUUUUUAAGGGCCCUCAGCGCAGGAAGUCACACAGGAUGCCUGGUUCACCAAUCGUGCACCACCGCCUUGGCACCCUAUUAAGGGCGCUGAGCGCCAGCCUUCAACCGUCAUAAAUCGCCUGGGCGCCCUUUGAGGGGCCCUAAGCCCUAUCGUCUCGCAAGCUCGCCCGACUGCCUUAAGUUGUGGCGUUGAGCGCCAGCGUGUUGGGCUUGGACCCGUUUUCUCUUAUUUUUCUGAUCUACUUAAGGACUUGGACGUCCUAUGGAUUGUAUCUUUUGGAAGAGGGAGCGC
RNAcentral lists this long non-coding RNA (322 nucleotides) under Vigna radiata. Its description in RNAcentral is "long non-coding RNA (VRAD_LNC018065)". The record is from RNAcentral. Lineage: Eukaryota; Viridiplantae; Streptophyta; Magnoliopsida; Fabales; Fabaceae.